RNAcentral lists this unclassified non-coding RNA (310 nucleotides) under plant metagenome. Its description in RNAcentral is "partial contains 5.8S ribosomal RNA, internal transcribed spacer 2, and large subunit ribosomal RNA". The stretch from base 1 to 105 matches the Rfam family "5.8S ribosomal RNA", at positions 50 to 154 of the family's 154-position model. The record is from RNAcentral.
GAAAUGCGAUAAGUAGUGUGAAUUGCAGAAUUCAGUGAAUCAUCGAAUCUUUGAACGCAGAUUGCGCCCCUCGGUAUUCCGUGGGGCAUGCCUGUUCGAGCGUCAUCUACACCCUCAAGCUCUGCUUGGUGUUGGGCGUCUGUCCCGCCUCCUUCGCGCGCGGACUCGCCCCAAAUCCAUUGGCGGCGGCCCUUGCCUCACUCUCGCGCAGCACAUUGCGCUUCUCGAGGCGCGGCGGACCGCGUCCAGCAAGCAACCGUCACACCGUCUUUGACCUCGGAUCAGGUAGGGAUACCCGCUGAACUUAAGC